This 256-nucleotide long non-coding RNA is filed under the name Setaria italica (foxtail millet). Its description in RNAcentral is "long non-coding RNA (SITA_LNC004885)". The record is from RNAcentral. Lineage: Eukaryota; Viridiplantae; Streptophyta; Magnoliopsida; Poales; Poaceae.
GCCGAUGUACAUGAAUAUGUAAAUCAAAAUUUAGUGAUAGAAUCAACAGAGUUGCUCGAUGUUCCACGGGUUGUCGACGUCUUCAUCAAAGAGAUGUUGGAGCCUAUACGACUCAGGUCCAGGAGCUUGGACACGACAAACGGUCCCUCCCACGAUGAGUUUAGCUUGUGCAGCCUCUUGGUGUGUUGGAUACGCUUGAGGACCAUAUCGCCUACAUUGAAAGCUUUGGUGAUGUCUAGCUUGAAGAAGAGUGCGG